AUGUGCUGUGAGCUCGAUGAGUAGGGCGGGACACGUGGUAUCCUGUCUGAAUAUGGGGGGACCAUCCUCCAAGGCUAAAUACUCCUGACUGACCGAUAGUGAACCAGUACCGUGAGGGAAAGGCGAAAAGAACCCCGGCGAGGGGAGUGAAAAAGAACCUGAAACCGUGUACGUACAAGCAGUGGGAGCACCCUUCGGGGUGUGACUGCGUACCUUUUGUAUAAUGGGUCAGCGACUUAUAUUCUGUAGCAAGGUUAACCGAAUAGGGGAGCCGGAGGGAAACCGAGUCUUAAUUGGGCGUUAAGUUGCAGGGUAUAGACCCGAAACCCGGUGAUCUAGCCAUGGGCAGGUUGAAGGUUGGGUAACACUAACUGGAGGACCGAACCGACUAAUGUUGAAAAAUUAGCGGAUGACCUGUGGCUGGGGGUGAAAGGCCAAUCAAACCGGGAGAUAGCUGGUUCUCCCCGAAAGCUAUUUAGGUAGCGCCUCGUGAAUUCAUCUCCGGGGGUAGAGCACUGUUUCGGCUAGGGGGCCAUCCCGGCUUACCAACCCGAUGCAAACUGCGAAUACCGGAGAAUGUUAUCACGGGAGACACACGGCGGGUGCUAACGUCCGUCGUGAAGAGGGAAACAACCCAGACCGCCAGCUAAGGUCCCAAAGUCAUGGUUAAGUGGGAAACGAUGUGGGAAGGCCCAGACAGCCAGGAUGUUGGCUUAGAAGCAGCCAUCAUUUAAAGAAAGCGUAAUAGCUCACUGGUCGAGUCGGCCUGCGCGGAAGAUGUAACGGGGCUAAACCAUGCACCGAAGCUGCGGCAGCGA
This 818-nucleotide ribosomal RNA is filed under the name Salmonella enterica. RNAcentral's name for it is "bacterial LSU rRNA". It matches the Rfam family "Bacterial large subunit ribosomal RNA", at positions 392 to 1211 of the family's 2925-position model. Lineage: Bacteria; Pseudomonadati; Pseudomonadota; Gammaproteobacteria; Enterobacterales; Enterobacteriaceae. The record is from RNAcentral.